This 2055-nucleotide long non-coding RNA is filed under the name Nicotiana tabacum (common tobacco). RNAcentral's name for it is "long non-coding RNA (NTAB_LNC013435)". Lineage: Eukaryota; Viridiplantae; Streptophyta; Magnoliopsida; Solanales; Solanaceae. The record is from RNAcentral.
UCGUUUAUACUCAAUUUCGUCGUCAGUAUUCUCCCUUUUAUUUGUAUCCAACCUCUCUUUUCGUGUAGGUUCAAGAUUAUUGCAGAAAUCAUUUUUCUCCUUCACUUUCUUGUCUUUAUCGGCAAAAAAAUCUGCUUACAAGUACAAAUUUAUAAUUUUUGAUAUCCAACUAUUGCGUUUUAGAAUUUGUGAAAGUAUAGUUUUUUAGCAUAUGCUAAGUCGUUUGUGGUAAUUGGAUGCUAUUAAAUUGAUGUGCGAUUGGUUGAGUUUAUUCCUUAAUUCCUCUAUUGUGUUAUGAAUUGGUUCCUCUGUAUGUUUUCGAAGGCUACUGUUAUUCUUGUGACUAUUUAGAUAUUUUUCUAAGUAUCGUCGAUGCAUAUUGAUGUUUUCAUUGAAUCUACUACUAGUCGAGAUAUGAAUCCACUAGUCGACAUAUAUACUGUUUUUUAUUGUUGUUGAUUGAUACGAGCUUUUCUGAUUUUCAUAAAUCUGAUGCCUCUGUACGAAAUAAGCAUAUGCUGAGUUUGACUGAUUUGAUCAUUUUGCUCUAACUGUUUCUCCACGCUAGGUUGUUCGUUUUACUAAUCAGAAAGUUUUUCAAUUCAUCUAACAAUCUACACUGCUAUUUUCGCAAUGAAGGUGGCAAAAUAGUGAAGUUAAGAAAAAUUAUCGAGGGGUGUAGGCGAGUUCUCCACAAGCUUUAUGAUGUGUUCUCCUGAGUAAUGAACAAGUGAGAAUCAUUUCCAGCAGGCUUUAAUGGUGAGUUAAUAUUGUUUAAAAUUGUUAUGAUUUGUAAAAUUGAAGUACAUACUCUUGAUUUGCAGCACUUGUGGGAUUUUACUAUUCAAUUAGUGAUUAGUACUUCGGUGCUGCAAAUGUUCUAGUUUGGAGACUUUGCCUCUUAAACAUAGGAGAAUAAUUAGUUUUCCCCUGGUUUCUUUAAAUGGUCCUUAGUUUCUUAUUUGAUUUUGAGGUAAUAUGAUUAUUGCCAUCACACAACAAAUUGCUUGGUGGUGUUUAAAUAUUGAAGAAAUUAAAUUGAUAGCAAUAGCAAAUCAUGCCUUUUCAGCAACUUAAUUUUCUUUGUUUUCUUGUGGGCAAACUAAUACAUUGCUACUUUUUUUGCUUUGAAAAUCUUUCCAAAGAGUUUUUGCUGAAAGACACUUGAAAAAAAUAUUCCUGUAAUUUUUACAAGUUUAUUUCUUGUUUCUGAUGUGUUACAUGUAUUAUGGGGUAAGUGGAUCAGUAAAUCAUUUCUUGCAAGUGAGGCAUUUGCAGUGUACUUUAUGAAUAUUACGAAUGUUUUAAUUUCAAAAAUUACAUCUUCAACAGUGUGUAACCUAUUAUAAAACCCUGAGAUCAAUAAAGGAACAAGGUGAAUAGAUAUCCUUUGUUGUACACCUAUUAUUGUUGUUUUAUAAAGGUCAUGCAUUGUAGGGAUUUCCUCAUCCUCUAUAAAGGUCAAUUGUUCUUGUAGUCAAGGUAAUUGUAGUAGGCACCUUGCACCAGAAAAAGAAAAUAAAAGGGCUUUGGUUCUAAUCCCUUUUUGUGGUUUCUUAAGGUGAAUUCAUAUAUUUAUCCCCUCUUUAAGCAAUAUUAUGUGAGUAAUAGACUAUUAUACUGUUAUGUGGAUUCUUAAGCAUGAGCUAUUCUUGGUGCAGGACCGUAGGUUGGUAAUGAAGAGCAAAUUCAAUUGUCAGGAUUCUUGAAAAAUUUGUUCUUCCCAAGAUAGUUUGACAAACUUAAGACUACAUAUUUGAAAUAGCUAAGUGUGAGGAGUACUUGUAUUACACACAAUUAUGGAUCAUUAAUAUCAGAUGUGAAAACAAUAAUGAAUAAACAAACAAAUAUUGUAUCAGGUUGAGAGGAUUUUCUCUUCUUCAUGUUGGCUCACUCCUGCUAUAUACAAGGAAUUGUUGUCCAGAUUAGCUUUAAGCCCCGAUACAAUUAACAAGUGAUUGAAAGCUUGGAAUUUGAGAACUAAUCCAAAUUAGAGUGUCUUUGAAGGUCACAUGUACAUUCACUAUUUAAUUGAAGAUAAACACUUACAUGUUG